This 472-nucleotide ribosomal RNA is filed under the name uncultured bacterium. Its description in RNAcentral is "bacterial SSU rRNA". It matches the Rfam family "Bacterial small subunit ribosomal RNA", at positions 30 to 507 of the family's 1533-position model. The record is from RNAcentral.
AUUGAACGCUGGCGGUAUGCUUAAGACAUGCAAGUCGAACGGUAACAGACCUUCGGGUGCUGACGAGUGGCGGACGGGUGAGUAACACGUGGGAAUCUACCUUGUAGUGGGGGAGUAAGCCAGGGAAACUUGGACUAAAUACCGCAUACGCCCUAAGGGGAAAGGAGCAAUUCGCUAUAAGAUGAGCCCGCGUCUGAUUAGCUAGUUGGUGAGGUAAAGGCUCACCAAGGCGACGAUCAGUAGCUGGUCUGAGAGGAUGACCAGCCACAUUGGGACUGAGACACGGCCCAGACUCCUACGGGAGGCAGCAGUCGGGAAUAUUGGACAAUGGGGGCGAACCCUGAUCCAGCAAUACCGCGUGUGUGAAGAAGGCCUGCGGGUUGUAAAGCACUUUUGUGAGGGAAGAACUGCAACGGACCUAAUACGCUGUUGUUUGACGGUACCUUACGAAUAAGCUCCGGCUAACUCCGUG